UCAUGUGGGGGGCGGUUUGGGGAAUUGGGGUGCGCUCAUUAUUUCCUGCUCCCUUUCUGGGCCAGUGUUGUUGAUAUCGGGGGAGCGGAGAGUCACUCUUGGGUGCAGGGCACGCCCCCUUAGGUCCAUAAGGAUCUUAGCUUGAGCCCCGCCGCAGAUCUUAGGCGUCUGGCUUUCCUUUGUGGGGGACGCUUGGAAGCUGCACCUUGUUGGGAAGAGUUAUUGCUAGGGGAUUCUGGGGUGAUGUUUUCGCCUCUUGAUGUCCACCCGUGUUCCCACUUGUGGGCAGUUUGAGGUCUAGGUAGGGGAGCCCGUCAUUAAGGGAAGUUUAAUGUCUGACCCUCUUCAGAUGGUGUUGAAGAAGAGGUAUUUAAUAGCGUGGAAUAUGGAGUCAGAUCCCUGGGUUCGAACGCUUACUCCACCAUGUGCUAGUUGUUAGACUUCGCUCAAGUUUUUCAACUCAAUGCCUCAAUAUUAGUCUCUAAAAUGGGGUAAAACAUCUGAAGCUCUUGGAACAGUGGCACCUAAUAAGGGCUCAAGAAAUAUUAGCUAUUAUUUGUUAAUUCACAGUUUCCAUUGACCAUCUAACAUGUGGAUAUUUUUUUUCUUGAUGAGGAGAGGAUUCAGUUUCCAGGAUUGAACAUCUUCCCUCACACCCUCAGUUACAUGCUCGUGCACACACACGCAGAGCAGGAAUUUACGGUUUCUGGUGGAAAAAACAAACAUGCAAGCCAUAACAAUACGUUAGGAAGAUUAUCGAACAAAUGUGUACACAGUGUAAUGAGAACAUUGGAGAGGAAGAGCCUAAGUAGCGGGAAGUCUUUGGAGGAGAGUCAGGGAGGCAGGGAGGCGCUUGUGUAACCUACCAACGUUACCGCCGGAGGGCAGUUCACGUGAGGCAACUAAUGCUGUUUUCCUGAAUGAAUUGAUCAUAAUCCCUAGCCUUGAGCACUACGGAACCAGGCACCAUCCACAUCCUUCAACCUUCACUGCAUUCCUAUGAAGCGGAUAUUUGAAUGACGCUUGUUUUUCAGCUUUUUUUCAAGGUUCUUCUUUAUCUUGCUGCAUCUGAAGCCAUGGGUAGCAAGAAACUAAGACGAGUGGGUUUAUCACAAGAGCUGUGUGACCGUCUGAACAGACAUCAGAUUGUUACCUGUCAGGACUUUCUAUGUCUUUCCCCACUGGAGCUUAUGAAGAUGACUGGCCUUAGUUAUCAAGGUGUCCAUGAACUUUUGUGUGUGGUCAGCAGGGCCUGUGCCCCACAGAUGCAAACGGCUUAUGAGAUAAAGACACAGAGGUCUGCUGCUCCAUCACCAGCAUUUUUAUCUACAACCCUCUCUGCUUUAGAUGAAGCCCUGCAUGGUGGUGUAGCUUGUGGAUCCCUCACAGAGAUUACAGGUCCACCAGGUUGUGGAAAAACUCAGUUUUGUAUAAUGAUGAGCAUUUUGGCUACGUUACCUACCAACAUGGGAGGAUUAGAAGGAGCUGUUGUGUACAUUGACACAGAGUCAGCAUUUAGUGCUGAAAGACUGGUUGAGAUAGCAGAAUCUCGUUUUCCCAGAUAUUUUAACACUGAAGAAAAAUUACUUUUGACAAGCAGUAAAGUUCAUCUUUAUCGGGAACUCAGCUGUGAUGAAGUUCUACAAAGGAUUGAAUCCUUGGAAGAAGAAAUUAUUUCAAAAGGAGUUAAACUUGUGAUUAUCGACUCUGUUGCUUCUGUGGUAAGAAAGGAGUUUGAUACACAACUUCAGGGCAACAUGAGAGAAAGGAACAAGUUCUUGGCAAGAGAAGCAGCCUCUUUGAAGUAUUUGGCUGAGGAAUUUUCAAUCCCAGUUAUCUUGACGAAUCAAAUUACAACCCAUCUGAGUGGAGCCCUAGCUUCUCAGGCAGACCUGGUGUCUCCAGCUGAUGAUUUGUCCCUGUCUGAAGGCACUUCUGGAUCCAGCUGUGUGACAGCUGCACUAGGAAACACCUGGAGUCACAGUGUGAACACCCGGCUGAUUCUCCAGUAUCUUGGUUCAGGGAGAAGACAGAUUCUCAUUGCCAAGUCCCCUCUGGCGACCUUCACCACAUUUGUCUACACCAUCGAGAAGGAAGGCCUGGUUCUUCAAGGGGGCCCCAGAUCACGGAGGGUCCUCGGGCCGGCAUCACAGCCAAGCUGAGGAGUGUGGACCAUCACCCUGUGGUGUGCUAUGGGCAGGCAUUUCUGAAUGCCUCAAGGCAGUUCACAAUUUCUAGUGAACUGGGAGACCUCUGAACAAUAGCAGGACCCUAAGGAUUGGGACCCAUGACUCCUCAGCGAAUUCUACACUCCUUUGAGGCACUACCUAAAGUUCAGGGAGAAGCUUGCCAAGGAAGAGGGACCUGGGGACAGCAGUGGAGAUGGAGACGUGAGCUCUGGUUGCCCUGCGCACUACAAGGAAGAAAAAUAGAAUAAUGAGCCACGUCGUUGGAGAGUGUCACCCGAGCAGCUCCGGAAGGACGUGGGCA
Molecule: RNA transcript, 2490 nt
Organism: Balaenoptera ricei (Rice's whale)
Lineage: Eukaryota; Metazoa; Chordata; Mammalia; Artiodactyla; Balaenopteridae
Gene: RAD51B
Gene name: RAD51 paralog B
Exons: 13
Source: RefSeq, a predicted model, not a curated record